This 214-nucleotide long non-coding RNA is filed under the name Phaseolus vulgaris (common bean). RNAcentral's name for it is "long non-coding RNA (PVUL_LNC004090)". The record is from RNAcentral. Lineage: Eukaryota; Viridiplantae; Streptophyta; Magnoliopsida; Fabales; Fabaceae.
CACCCUUAACCGUGAAUUAGCUCUAUUAAUCUGGUUAACCUUUAACUUGAGCGUUAUCGACCAGUCGGAAGACUAUUAUAUUCUUUUAUUGUUUCUCUACUAACUAUUAAAUCAAUUUUUGUAAUGUGUAGAGAAAUAUGUGAAAAAGAAAUGUUUAAAGUAACAAAGAUGAUAUAUAUGAAUUUUGUCUCUUUUGUUAUAAGUGAUAUGUUGU